Esox lucius (northern pike) is the source of this 2223-nucleotide long non-coding RNA. RefSeq lists it as uncharacterized. The record is from RefSeq and is a predicted model, not a curated record. NCBI's taxonomy places the organism in Eukaryota, Metazoa, Chordata, Actinopteri, Esociformes, Esocidae. The transcript is spliced from 4 exons.
UUUUACUAAAUGUAGCCAUAGUCCGUUAUGGUUAUCAAACGUUGGAUAGCUGAGUUACCAGACAACAAAGGACGAAUGCUAACAACAGGCUAAUGCUAACGCAAGUACAGUCUGAACACAUGGAGAGGAGGUUUGCUGUGGUGCGAUUGUGUGAAGGGGAGGAUUUUGGGAGACUCAGUGACAUAAAUGGGGAAUCCCAUUUCCUCCUACUCAGCAGUUCUUGAAUGGUGCCAUGGGAGGAAACAAGGAGGAUGUCUCACUACAGAGGCACUGUCAUGUUUGUUAGUGGAAGAAGAACUUAAAGAGCUGACAAAGAGGGCAACUGAGCCCCCUCGAUAUCGAGACUCAGGCAUUGCAAGUUAAGGUGACGUUAAUGUACUUUCAGCUCCUAUGCAAUUACCAUAUUUCCCGGUGGUACCAUGUACAUAGAAUGUGUUAGGGGUUGGCACAACUGUGUAACAGGCAUUAAUAUCUAGCCAGAAAAAAUAUCUGUAAGGAUUAUUGAUUCUUGAUACUGAUUUUCUUGAACAGUAUGGGUAGUGGCAGUGUUUUUCUUUUGGUUUCUAAGUCAAUAAUUUAAUUUAAUUUUCUCUUGACACCCAGAAGUCAAAGGCUCCCAUGAGGACAGAUUUUGCAGAAGAGUUCAUUAAGCAAUAUGGUCAAUCACAGCCUUCUUCAGAUAAUCAUAACAAUCCGACUAAGAUUGUGGAUAAAUUAAAGCAGGAGAUCAAGGACCUGAAAGCAGAGAACGCUAAAUUGAAAGAGAUUGUUCUUCAAGGUAUAAUUGAUUCAAAUCAGUCAUAGAAGCAUAAGAAAACACAUACUUUUUAUUAAAUGACUGUCCUAAAGAAGACAGUCAUUUACUAUGUUAGAUGUGGACUCCUACAGAGCUUGAGGCAUAUAAUUGAUUCAGCAGCACCUCAUAAUUGAUCCAGGGUGGAGCUUACCACCGCCAGCCCUUCCAGGUUGUCCGUGGUCCAGGUCGAGUUUUCUAUUUGCCAUAUCGCUGUCCCACCCCAGACCAUCGCUGUCCAGUUCCAUGUCUGCGUCUCAAUCACUGUCUCCCAGUCUUCUAUCAUAAUUGUUUUGUGAAGAAUAAAUUAAUACAGCACAUACAAUUUAUCUACUGCAUCAUAACUUUAUAUGCUCACCUUGUGUCCUUGUCUAAACAGGUUGAGAUCCAUCCUAGAACCGGAGUCAUGGUUGAGAAACUGGCGUGGACCUAUGCCCGCAAUGCAAAUUCGGCCACAGUAUUUGUGAGGCAUCUGCUCACCGCUGUCUUCCCAGUGGAAAUACUACUGGUGAGCAAUCCUCGGGGGAACAAACAAGGUGGAGGAGAGGCUCCUGUACCACUGGACCCAAAAAAAUUGGAUGCCAUCUACAGUGCAACUCUUAGAGGUGGCCAGGGACCCAGUUCUCCAAAAUUGGAAGCACAAUCAAUGCCAAGAUUACCGAGCUCCGGUCAAAAAAUAAAGAUGUUGCUGUGUAAACAGCUCCCCAUUAAACUUUUGUUUGCUCUUAGCUAAACAGAGUUUCCCACAAGUGUAUCAUAUAGUCCUUUGCCCUGAGCCAAUGCUGACUACGGUCUCCUGAAAAUAUGUACUGCAUUUUAAUUAUACUACACACAUCUUAGUGCCUGUUUUUUGUGAGAUAUCCAGUGUGCGGAAGAAAUAAACGAACACCAUACUUGUAAUGCGUACUGCAGAUUGUAGAUUACAUCAUUGGAACAUGCUCAUAAUGCUCUAUUGACUGGUUUUGGAUCACAUCUGCUCCAAUUACAGUCCCUAGAAAGUAUCCACCGGAAUGUACUUACCAAAAGUGGGAUGUAAGUAUGCCAUAAAGGCAUUUUAUGUUUACAUUUUACUCAUUUUGGUUGACAUUUUAUUUACUUAGCAAUUUCCUAAUCAAGAAUACUCAAAAUACCAUAGUAGUACUGGCAUGCUCAGAGCUCUUGAUUGCACUUAAGCUUUGUUCUUUGUUUCUUUGGUCAUAAAGGAGCAAAUCAGUUAGAUGUGUACACCUGUUUGUAAUGACAAUUAUUUGUUGGUGACAAUGUUCCCACAUUAGAAUAGGAAUAGUACAAGAUUGUGCUCUGCAUGUCUGUAUUUAUGCACAGAAAUUGUAAAAGAUAUUCCUAUCUAAUAAUAUUCAAAUUUUAUUUUUGAAAACAUGAUCUUCUUAAGAUCAGGGUUUACUGCUGUCAGCACUGUAGUCCCAACAGUG